CUGCUCCCCAGGGUUUCUCUUCCCCCUCCCCCGGGUGCCUUUGGGUGCAGGAAGGCACUACCAGGAGCUUUGCCUCCAGAAAAGGCACAGCAUGACUUCGGUGGUGGAAAAUGAGCAAUGUGCAAGUGCAUCAACACAGGGCACUGAGAAAGCAGCAAAUGUUUUCAUGCAAUGAUCUGUCUGAUGAUUCGACAAAUCGUUUCCUUCAGUGAAAAAGUUUCCAGUUUGAUGACGACAAUGCCCAGACUGAAUGCCAGGCCAGGAAGGCAGGUGACAGCAGUGGAAAACCAGCUACAGUUACACUAGGAACUGCCAUCAGUGCUACCUGGGAUACAGCGACCCUAUGAGGAAAUGAUCUCUCUGUGUGCUGAACCUGUUUGGAAGUGUAUGGAAAAUAAACAGCUUUGGUCAUGCCAGGUUUAGUUGGGCAUGCUUUCCCUUUCAA
Molecule: long non-coding RNA, 445 nt
Organism: Pipra filicauda (Wire-tailed manakin)
Lineage: Eukaryota; Metazoa; Chordata; Aves; Passeriformes; Pipridae
Exons: 3
Source: RefSeq, a predicted model, not a curated record